GAUCAUGGCUCAGGAUGAACGCUGGCGGCGUGCCUAAUACAUGCAAGUCGAACGCUUCACAUUUGUGAAGAGUGGCGAACGGGUGAGUAAUACAUAAGUAACCUGGCAUCUACAGGGGGAUAACUGAUGGAAACGUCGGCUAAGACCGCAUAGGUGUAGAGAUCGCAUGAACUCUAUAUGAAAAGUGCUACGGGACUGGUAGAUGAUGGACUUAUGGCGCAUUAG
RNAcentral lists this ribosomal RNA (225 nucleotides) under uncultured bacterium. RNAcentral describes it as "partial 16S ribosomal RNA". It matches the Rfam family "Bacterial small subunit ribosomal RNA", at positions 15 to 244 of the family's 1533-position model. The record is from RNAcentral.